CACCGCGGUUAUACGAGAGGCCCCAGUUGAUGAAUACCGGCGUAAAGCGUGGUUAGGGAAGACACAAAAUAAAGCAAAAGACCCACCCAGCCGUUAUACGCAAAGGAGGACACGAAUCACUAUUACGAAAGUAGCUUUAAUUAUAACCACCCGAACCCACGACAGCUAGGGCA
RNAcentral lists this ribosomal RNA (173 nucleotides) under Dussumieria acuta (rainbow sardine). RNAcentral's name for it is "partial 12S rRNA". The record is from RNAcentral. Lineage: Eukaryota; Metazoa; Chordata; Actinopteri; Clupeiformes; Dussumieriidae.